CUGUCAUCCCGCUUCCCUUUAAACCUAUGUCUUCAAAACGCCUGGUCUGCCCACCUUCAUCAACCUUGUCUCAUCUUCUCUGAACAUCAGUCUGAAGGAGGACACCUUGCUCACCUCACGUGGCGUCUGAAGGACGUCUGACCACCCACACAGCAGGUCGAAAUGGUCAAGGCUGAGACAGGCAUCAACAGAGAUACUGUGCUCUGAAUCUAAGCAUCCAAACAGAGGCAUCUGGAAGCCUAAAAGUGUGGCUUUGAAAUGGUUAAAGCUUGUUUCAGGUUUUGAAUUGCCAAAGACCAAUGUGUGCUAUAAUGGAAGGGCUUGUGCUAUGAACUUUCUGUCUGAAAAGCAAUCCCUCAAACAAUUGUAUUAUCUGCAUGGUCUUCCAGCAUUCAGAAAAAAACAUUUUAGGUCUUGUACCCAUCACAGAAUAUUUCUAUGUCACUUGUCUCAGCAGUGGUAAACGGAGCAUGUAUAUGAAAAAUAAACCACGGCUCUUUCAAAA
Long non-coding RNA from Electrophorus electricus (electric eel), 505 nucleotides. RefSeq lists it as uncharacterized. The record is from RefSeq and is a predicted model, not a curated record. Lineage: Eukaryota; Metazoa; Chordata; Actinopteri; Gymnotiformes; Gymnotidae.